UGAGCUUGAUCCUGGCUCAGGACGAACGCUGGCGGCGUGCCUAAUACAUGCAAGUCGAGCGCAGGAAGCCGGCGGAUCCCUUCGGGGUGAAGCCGGUGGAAUGAGCGGCGGACGGGUGAGUAACACGUGGGCAACCUACCUUGUAGACUGGGAUAACUCCGGGAAACCGGGGCUAAUACCGGAUGAUCAUUUGGAUCGCAUGAUCCGAAUGUAAAAGUGGGGAUUUAUCCUCACACUGCAAGAUGGGCCCGCGGCGCAUUAGCUAGUUGGUAAGGUAAUGGCUUACCAAGGCGACGAUGCGUAGCCGACCUGAGAGGGUGAUCGGCCACACUGGAACUGAGACACGGUCCAGACUCCUACGGGAGGCAGCAGUAGGGAAUCAUCCGCAAUGGGCGAAAGCCUGACGGUGCAACGCCGCGUGAACGAUGAAGGUUUUCGGAUCGUAAAGUUCUGUUAUGAGGGAAGAACAAGUGCCGUUCGAAUAGGUCGGCACCUUGACGGUACCUCACGAGAAGCCCGACU
This 522-nucleotide ribosomal RNA is filed under the name Bacillus sp. M13-C22. Its description in RNAcentral is "bacterial SSU rRNA". It matches the Rfam family "Bacterial small subunit ribosomal RNA", at positions 1 to 498 of the family's 1533-position model. The record is from RNAcentral. Lineage: Bacteria; Bacillati; Bacillota; Bacilli; Caryophanales; Bacillaceae.